Molecule: unclassified non-coding RNA, 424 nt
Filed under: Bombus terrestris (buff-tailed bumblebee)
Lineage: Eukaryota; Metazoa; Arthropoda; Insecta; Hymenoptera; Apidae
Description: misc RNA ENSBTSG00005020156.1
Source: RNAcentral
GCAGCUGGGAAACCUAACAGUUUCGAAAAGGCCGUGAGUGACCGGAACACGAUUCUCCUUCUUUACCAUCGCGCGCACAGGUAGCAACAACGUGUGCCGCUUUAGCGCGUCUCUUAUCGUAGAUCUUCGCUCGUUCCGUCUUCAGCCACCAAGAAGGCUCGGUAUAAAGCUAUACACACUUCGUUUCAUUAAUGUUAAUAGUCAACAGACUUGGACGUCACGCGUAUUCAAUGACACCUAUCAAGGGCGUAACAUUCGUGAUCUUUUUAUUAAGAUGCUAGUUACUGCUGUACGUAAUGGAGAUGGGUGAUAUCUAUUUCCAAUAGGCGAUGGCUUUAUCGAGAUUUGCAGAUGGACGAUACAAUGAUCUUUGAGUGUCAAAUAAGAAACUGAACAAUUUUCUUUUGAAGAUACAAUAUCUUCU